GUAGGUGGCAAGCGUUAUCCGGAUUUACUGGGCAUAAAGGGAGCGUAGGCGGAUAUUUAAGUGGGAUGUGAAAUACCCGAGCUUAACUUGGGAGCUGCAUUCCAAACUGGAUAUCUAGAGUGCAGGAGAGGAGAAUGGAAUUCCUAGUGUAGCGGUGAAAUGCGUAGAGAUUAGGAAGAACACCAGUUGCGAAGGCGGCUCUCUGGACUGUAACUGACACUGAGGCGCGAAAGCGUGGGGAGCAAACAGGAUUAGAUACUCUGGUAGUCCGCACGGUAAACGAUGGAUGCCCGCUGUUGGUCUGAAUAGGUCAGCGGCCAAGCGAAAGCAUUAAGCAUCCCACCUGGGGAGU
RNAcentral lists this ribosomal RNA (352 nucleotides) under uncultured bacterium. Its description in RNAcentral is "bacterial SSU rRNA". It matches the Rfam family "Bacterial small subunit ribosomal RNA", at positions 527 to 881 of the family's 1533-position model. The record is from RNAcentral.